RNAcentral lists this long non-coding RNA (1086 nucleotides) under Capra hircus (goat). RNAcentral describes it as "lncRNA (ENSCHIG00010001013.1)". Lineage: Eukaryota; Metazoa; Chordata; Mammalia; Artiodactyla; Bovidae. The record is from RNAcentral.
UUACACACUCCAAAAGGAAAAAGAGAGAGAGAAGGGUUAAAAAAAAAUACUCACACAAUUAUUUCUGGAUGUUAGGAGUAGGUUGUGUGUGUGUGUUGGGUGGGGGUUGGGCAGCGGGGAGGUUGGGGAGAUGACACUGAAAACAUUUCCUGAAUCAACAUUUAACAGUCUUGUUGUUAAAAUUCUUUUUGGGCAUUCUGUCACAGGAGUUUUGCCCCAUCUCACUGACUCUUCUCAUUCCUCUAUUUCUUACUUCCUCCCACUCAGAUUGCCUUAGAAACUGAAAUAGUUUUUCUCCUCACCUUUGUAGACAGCAAUAUAGCUUUUUGCUAACUCUUACUGUCAAGCUUUCCCACACAAACCAUUCAGCCAAGCCCAAAGGGCUGCUAUGCAACUUGUGACAUUUGUUAUUAACCAUAGAGACCAUAAACAUUAAAAAUAUUUUUCUCUUACACUUUUCCUGAUUUUAUGACUUCUUGCUAUCUUUCAGUAGUCCCAGGGAUGUAGCCCUUAAGUACAGUCUGUCAAUUCUUUUAUGAAGAUGUAAGAAUACCCUUCCAAAGUCAAGGUUUAUUCAUCCCAAGACUCUGCCUGCCCUUUAGGGAGGAGAACCAUCAGAGGAGAGCCAGUGCAGAUCCCAGAUCUGGCCUCUGUCUUCUCCAGUCACAACCCGCCUUGGCUGUUUGGUGGAAGAGGUCACCCUGCUGCAUAAAGUGUAAUUUUGAGAAGAAAUGCUGCUGCUCGCUGGUGCCUUGUUUGCCUAAAAAAUAUUUAACUCACAGAAAAAAAUAUCUGGGAACUCGCAAUGUGUUCCAGAAGAAUCUUUCAACAGAGCAAUGCAACUGCAAGGUUGUCAAGACAAAUGGAAACAGAUAAGAAUGAGUCAAUGUGGUAUUUAAGCAAGUUAGAAUUAGAAAGUGAGGAUGGAUUCAUAGUGGCUAUAUAUCUCUUCAAUUGAUUUAAUAAAUACAUCUGCAGAAUUUAUAAAAAAGGAUGUUUUAUCCAGCAGUCCUAUUGUUAACCUUAGGACUUUCCAAUCCCUAGCUUUCUGAUCAUAUAUUUUUUUCAAUUUGGGAAUUAGAACAG